GAAGGCCUAGACUAAAACUACUACACUGUUGCAGGUGUAAGUUUAACUCAUGAUUUGUUCCAUUGCCUCCAUUUUUCAGAAGACCGAGAUGGGUAGGGGUCCCCUAGGCCAAGCUUCUUUGAACUCUAAAGGCUGAAAAAACUUAUUUUCCUGUACAGUUCAGCAUUCUAAGAUACAGAAAUGGGAGAGCUCACCUGCCCUAAACACCGUAAGGCAUCUGAUCUUAGUGAUGUUACUGGAACUCUUUGGGGGCCCCUUGUGACUUUUCCUGUACAAUUGAGGCCGGAUGUGAUAUUCUCAGAGAAAUGCUCCUUUACGAGUUCCCUCUCUUGAGAUGUGAUCAUUAACAAAGUGACAUUACAUCAGGACAUAUCCAUCUCUGAGUCCUUAGCACUUGUGAGCUAAGGAUUUCCUCUCAUUUUGGCCUAUACAAUUUCACAUGCUGAGUGGUGUGUGCAUAUGCUACAGAUCACUUUCACUACGAAAGAGAGAGGAGAACUAAAUUUAAUGGGAACCUUCGGUGAAAUGGAUGUUCCACAGCUUGUAGUGCACCUUCAAAGGCAUGCUGCAUGACAAAUCUAUCAAAAUCAGUCAUGUCCUUUGCAUACUCUAUCAAGCAGUUGCUCAGCUUGCCAAAGGACAUCUCGAACUGAAGUUCAGAGAAUGGAGCACAUAAUUGAAUCACUACUGACCAACUGUCACAACAACCCUCCGCUCCCCAAACACUAAUGAAAGGAAGCAAAUGAGACGUCCUGAUUCAAACUUUUAUUCUGAUGACAUCCUAUUGUUGUGUUCUAGCACAGAGCCAAGAACUGAAGAGAAAUGAUCAUCCUCAUUACGUUUUCCGAAAGCUUAUUAUAAGCACUUGCUGAUAUCGCUGCAGGAAUUGACUGAAACUUCAGAGAUGAAGCAAAUAUGCUGUUUGAGAUAAUGCUAAUGUAUGCAAAACAGAAAAAAACCCACCUACAAACCCACAAAAAACCGUCCUAGAAGCUUGAAAAAAAUCUCACAAUUUUAACACACCUGAAGAAUCAGACAGAUAUUAUUGAUAUCUGUGAUCAUCUUGUUUUUUAGCUGAAAUAUUUAAUUUCGAUAUUAAUUUUUAUUACAUUUAAUAUGAAAUUAAAUACCAGUCACAUCUUAGAACUCCUAGAGAACAUAAAUAGAAUACAGACCUACUGUCAGACCUACCCAGUUAUGAUCCUCUCUGCAUAUGAGGGAAGAAACAUCCUUCCUAGAGUGCCUUGUCACGUCUAUUCUGUUACCAUAUAAUCCCACAGUCUCUGUAAGGCAACUAGUAUAGCUGUUGUCAUCAUUAUAGAAAUAAUUUAAUACUUUUUCUCAAACACAGUUAUGCAACCACAUAGAAAAUAUGACAGUAUCAUUUUAAAACAGGGGACAUGAGGUGUAGACAUGUAUUCAGAAAAGCCAGGAUUUCUUGUCUAUCUCUGGGAAAGACUUGCCCUGCUGUAAGAGGCUGUGUGGCUUAAGUAGCCCAAGCCUUUGCAAGCUCUGAAACAGAACAAAGAAUAAUCCAGGACAAACAAAGGCUACCACAUCACAGAUCUCAGUAAAGCUUGGAUUCAAGAAGACACCAUGGGCUAUUCAACCCCAACGUGCGUAGCUGCAAGUAAAGAAGAGAAAAUUUAAGUGGCCAGGAACAAUAAGGUUAAAAAGUAAAAAUGUUCCAGUUCUUCCUGGAUUGCCUCAAUAUUUGUUUUUCAAUUAAAAAGCCUUAUUUUUAUUUUGAAGAAGGAAUCAAAUAUUCCUUUUCACCUGUGGAUUUGGGAAUAAAUGAAGUUAA
Molecule: long non-coding RNA, 1804 nt
Organism: Pipra filicauda (Wire-tailed manakin)
Lineage: Eukaryota; Metazoa; Chordata; Aves; Passeriformes; Pipridae
Exons: 3
Source: RefSeq, a predicted model, not a curated record